Molecule: non-coding RNA, 217 nt
Organism: Pelobates cultripes (western spadefoot toad)
Lineage: Eukaryota; Metazoa; Chordata; Amphibia; Anura; Pelobatidae
Source: the annotation of a GenBank genome assembly
CAUUACUACACGACUAAAGAAACCAUCAUGCAAGCUGCAAGGACAUUGCAAACCCUCCCGGGAGAAUACAAAAAUAUUCAUCUCUUCACUGAUCUGUCUGCCGCCACAUUAGCGACAAGAAAAACCUUUCUCCACAUCACAAAAGCUCUACGUAUAGCGGACAGCCCUUACAAUUGGGGCUUCCUGGCAAGACUCAUUGUGCGGCACAAUGGUGCAG